CCGGCGCCCUAGAGUGGCUACAGGCUGCGGCGUCGGGUUGGAGAACACGGAGUGCAUGGAGCCGCUUCGCUGGUCCGGCGCGGUCUCCUGCGUUCCAGUAGCGGGCACCUGACUCCCCAUGCCCGAGUACUGUCCUCGGGCGGAACGGCGUCUGCAGCGAGGGGCGGGGUUCCAGCCGAGUGGGCUGACGCGGUCCCUGGCAUUUCCCGUGCUGGCCCUGGGUCGCCCUCGAUGCUGCUUCCCGCUGGGAACCUCCUUCUGACGGCAGAAAGGAGCUUCACCUGGGGCGGCUGGCGGGAAACGGAGAAGAAUCCACCGGGGAAGUGGACAGGGCUGGCUCCCGGACCUGGCUCAGCGGCUCUCGGGCCGUCAGACCUCCUGCGGGUUGCGUCACUUUCCUCGGUUUUCUAGACAGCAGUUGUGGGGUUGAAUCCUUCCCGUGGUUUUGUAAGAAUUAAAUGAGAUAAUGAACGCGAACAGCAAUCAUUGCUGUUUGUUGGGUGCUUCCUGUGGGCCUGGCAAUAUUAACAACACGAGCUGCUCAUUCAUGCAUUCAUUCGCUACUCAGUGACUUUCCUAUCAAUACUGCAAGGUGUUGGAGAUGAGCACCCACCCUUUGGUCAGUAAAACUGCCAAGAUCACCGACCUUGUGAAGACAUUUGAGGAUGAGAGGUCCUUUCAUCUGCUGUUCCCCCAGUCCAGAUGCCAGCCAGGCAUUUGAGAACCAUCUGAUGGUAACAGGAUGGAGGCUGACUCAACUACACUCCACCACCUGCCUUCCUGCCUUCAGGGAGAUUUUGAACAUAGCUUAUCCUUUAAGUUCUUCUGCUUGUUACUGCUCACAGCACUGUGAUUCUACUUUAGGCACCUUCUGUACAUUCAUAUUCAUGACUUUUUUUCUCCUCUUUCCUGUUUAUGAUUAGAAAGGUGCUUCACCAAUAUAUUUUAUUUCAGAACCAAAGAAGAGAUCAAAUUAUAAUAACAUGAGCAUAGUAUUAUACUAUAGGAUACUAGUAAGAAACUCAGUUCCUCCUCUUUGUUCCCAUAAUAUUUUGUGAAUAUGUCUAUGAUAGUAUUUAAUACAUUGCAUUAUGACUGGUUGUUUGUGUCAUUCUCUACUUAUUAAUUAGACUUCUUUGAGGAUAGAGAUUGAGUUUUUAAAUUUGUUUCUUCAUUUGUUCUUUUACUUAGCUCAGUGCCUGGCAAAAAAACAAAUCAUUGUUGAAUCAGUUUUUAAGUGAAAUAGGGAUAAGUGGGAGGCUAACUUAUCCAGUCUUUGAAAAUGCCUAGCGAUCCCCUUCAGAAUUCUCAUACAUCAUCAUCAAUCUUCUUACCCUGUAAAUAAAUAUACUAAUCACUAAUUUUAAUCUUUCAUAAUCUACUUUUUUGCUUAAUAAUAUGUGAUAACUCCAUGAUUUGUUUAUUCAUUUAUUCUAGGGUCUUUCAUCCUGGGCAUUAUUUACACAUUGGGCCAGGAGGGCCUUGUUAUGGAGGGUGAUAAAAAUUCUUUGCUUGACCAAACUUUAUUCAGGCUCCUGAACCUUCUCCUAGGCCUGUCUGUAUACUUUCUUGUAAAAUCAGAUUUAGCAACAAACCUGUUUAGUCAGUUUAGCAACUGCCCAUCACCCGCAUCCUUGAUAUAUGAUCACCAUCAAUAUGUUCCUCAUCCUCCAACAUCCCUUAGAUGAAAUCUAAUAACCCUAGCCUGUCAUCAGCAAGAAUCCUGUUAGAUUGUGUUAGCCAGAAUCCUCCUUACCCUUGAUGAUUCCUCUUAGCAGUUGUCCAUUCACUUAUCCUACCCUGCUCCUUCUCUAUAAAUUCCCACUUGCCGCAUGCUAUAUACAGAGUUGAGCACAGUCUCUCUCCCCAACUGCAAAAUCUUAUUGCAAUAGUCCCUAUACCUAUGGCAAUGAUCUUGAAUAAAGUCCUCCUUGCCAUGCUUUAGCAAGUGUCAUUGAUUUCUUUUACAGGACCUGUCCUAUGCAGUGUACAAUGUUUAACAGCAUCCCUGGCCUUUAUCCACUAUAUGCCAUUAGUACUACCCCUUCUUCACUGUGGCAAACAUAAGUGUCUCCAGACAUUGCCAAAUGUCUCCUGGAGGACAAAAUUGUCCCUGGUUGAGGACACUGAUUUAUUCUAAUAUUAUAUUAAUCAUUUUUCUUGACAUUUGCCUACCCAAUGACUAUUAGAAACUCAAUAGUAAAUGCUUUGCUUUUUGCAUUUUGUUCUAGAAAUAGUUAAUAUCAAAUUAACAGAAGUUUUACAAAAUUAGAUGUUUUAAACUCCUUAUUAAACUCUGAAAUAAUGCUACCAGACUCUGGAAUGUUCUCUCAUCUUAGAAUGUGCCCUCUUUAUGACCUAUGGAUUUGUUGUUUAAAAUUUAAAAGUUAGCUUUAAGUGAAUGAAACAUAAAUUAUCUUAAAGCAAAGGUAUAGUAACAUUAUGAAAAAGAGUAAAGAGUAUUAAGACUGAUAGCCUUUGGGAGAAGUGAAUUUGCUAAAUGAGUGACUUUGAUCAAAUUUUUAUGCACAGAUAUAUGUACUUUGUAGAUUUUUAUCAUUGCAAUGUCUUUUGUAUCUUUGAUUUUCAAAAGAUUUCUAAAAUAAGGACAUUCUUACACAAAAAAUUCUUAAACAUCUUUCAAAGUUUAAAAAGUCAGAAGUUUUUAGAAGCUGUUAUAUUUUACUUUUUAAAAAAUGUUUUUAUUGUUAAAUGAAAACACAUUAUAAUAAUUGCAUAAAAACAUAAGUAUGCAGUUUAAUGAAUUACUAUAAUAGGAACACUGUAUAAUCACCAAUCAAGGUCAAGAGGUAGAAUAUUGGUAGGGCUCAGAAGCACCCGUACCUCCAUGCCCAUCCCCAUCCACAGCUUCCUCUCUCUUCUUAAGUGUCGUCCCUUCCUGACAUUUAUGGGUAAUAUGUAGUCACAUUUUUGUUCUGUUUAUUCUCUAUUUUUUAUUUUUAUUUUAGAGAUAAGGUCUCAAUCUGUCACCCAGCCUGGAGUGCACUGGCACCGUCAUAGCUCACUGCUGCCUCAAACUCCUGGGCUGUCCAUCUCAGCCUCCCAAGUAGCUGGGAUUACAGGGAGCUCCCAUGUUCAUGGAAGUGACAAAGAAUUUCAGUCCAGUGUGAUAAGAGAUGUGAGAGAUAAGUACCAUGUGCUCCACACCAGAGAGAAGGUGUUCCUAACUCAAGCUUGGGGAUGGGGCAAUGAUCGGAUUCCUGGAGGAGGUGCUACUGAGUUGUGUCUUGAAGCAUGAAUAAGAUAUGGCAGACUAAUAAAGUGAAGUUCUGUCAAAAGUUACAGUCUGGACUCAGUUAUACUGUGGGGAAUUGAGGAAGGGCCUAUCCCGUGCUUCGGAAAGAAAUGCAAAGGAGAGAGCAGUAAACUUCCUCCUUGAGACCAGGGUGUUGGUAACAGAAGUCAUCUGCAGAAAGCCACACUCACCUGAGCCAUCAUUGUGAUCUUACAGAAAGAUAUGGCAGCCUUAGAGCCUUAGAUGGCACAUGGCCCCUGGAGACCUGCUAAAGAGACCAUAUGGUGGAAUCCUGAGAGUUCUCAGAAGCAGCUGUUUAACCUCACUUCCAGUUUCCUGCCAUUAUCCAGAAAAGGAACACCACUAAUUAAGAGAUUUUCUCGAAUGACUGUUAUGUAAGGAAAAGUCUUAGGACAACAAGGAGACAACAUAGCUUAAAGGUUAAGACUUGUGGGCGCUGGAACCAGAUGAACUACUUUUAAAAGGACCUGCUUCUUAGUAACUGUGUAUCUUGAUGAUCUCUUUGUUUCUCAGUUUUCUCAUGUGAGGAAUAAUAAAAUCAACUUAAAGAUUAUUUGAGGAUUUAGUGAAUAAUACUAUAUUUUAUCUAUUCUGAAGAGAAUAUUUUUUCACACUUUAACUGAUAUCGCGCCAUGACUUACAAUUGAUUGUCUUAUAAUCACAGAAUUGCUGUUGCUUACACAUGUAAACUUGGCUGUCACUUUUCUUGUAGUUGUUUCAUCAGUUGAAUUAUAUACAUUGUGGUGCUAUACAAUUUGAAUUUAAUUACCAUUUAAAGUGCCUUAAAAAUUACAUUGAUUCACCACGGAAGCAAACAUUACUGUGUAUGGACAAUGGCACUGAAGAAAAGCAGGAGGGCUUAAAUUUGAUAUUUAGUAAAGCAAGUAUUUGUCCCUGAAGGAAAGACUGCAAUUCCACUUAUUCAUGCAAAACAACCCAAAGAGGAACUGUGUUAUAUUUUGUGACUGAGAUAUGAGCCUAU
This is a long non-coding RNA of Symphalangus syndactylus (siamang), 4259 nucleotides long. RefSeq lists it as uncharacterized. Lineage: Eukaryota; Metazoa; Chordata; Mammalia; Primates; Hylobatidae. The record is from RefSeq and is a predicted model, not a curated record.